RNAcentral lists this ribosomal RNA (454 nucleotides) under uncultured bacterium. RNAcentral's name for it is "partial 16S ribosomal RNA". It matches the Rfam family "Bacterial small subunit ribosomal RNA", at positions 28 to 507 of the family's 1533-position model. The record is from RNAcentral.
GACGAACGCUGGCGGCGUGCUUAACACAUGCAAGUCGAACGGAACUGCGGUUUGGGUGGCGGACGGGUGAGUAACGCGUAGGGAAGUAGCCUCACAGUUAGCGACAACAUAUGGAAACGAAUGCUAAUACAAGAUAUUAUGAUUUUAGGGAAUCGUAGAAUUAUGAAAGCUAUAUGCGCUGUGGAAGAGCUUUGGGUCCCAUUAGCGAGUCGGGGGGGUAUCGGCUCCCCAGGGGGAGGAUGGGUAGCCGGCCGGGGGGGGUGAACGGCCACAAGGGGCCGGGGACACGGCCCUAACUCCUCGGGGGGGCAGCAGUGGGGAAUAUUCGACAAUGGACCAAGAGUCUGAUCCAGCAAUCCUGUGUGCACGAUGAAGUUUUUCGGAAUGUAAAGUGCUUGCAGUUGAGAAGAAAAAAAUGACGGUACCAACAGAAGAAGUGACGGCUAACUACGUG